UCCUACGGGAGGCAGCAGUGAGGAAUAUUGGUCAAUGGGCGGGAGCCUGAACCAGCCAAGCCGCGUGAAGGAAGAAGGCGCCAAGCGUCGUAAACUUCUUUUGUCGGGGAACAAAGGGCGCCACGUGUGGCGUUGUGAGUGUACCCGAAGAAAAAGCAUCGGCUAACUCCGUGCCAGCAGCCGCGGUAAUACGGAGGAUGCGAGCGUUAUCCGGAUUUACUGGGUGUAAAGGGAGCGUAGGCGGCCUGGCAAGCCUGAUGUGAAAUACCGGGGCCCAACCCCGGGGCGGCAUUGGGAACUGCCAG
RNAcentral lists this ribosomal RNA (305 nucleotides) under uncultured bacterium. Its description in RNAcentral is "bacterial SSU rRNA". It matches the Rfam family "Bacterial small subunit ribosomal RNA", at positions 337 to 639 of the family's 1533-position model. The record is from RNAcentral.